This is a non-coding RNA of Cavia porcellus (domestic guinea pig), 410 nucleotides long. The record is from the annotation of a RefSeq genome assembly. Lineage: Eukaryota; Metazoa; Chordata; Mammalia; Rodentia; Caviidae.
UGGAUGCCUGCUCUUGUUCAUUAGCGGUGAGAGCUGAACACAAACGGCUCACCAUGGAGCUUGGGCUGAGCUGGGUUUUCCUGUUUGCAAUUUUGAAAGGUGUCCAGGAUGAGCCGCAGCUGGUGGAGUCAGGUGGAGGCUUGGUGCAGCCUGGGGGGUCCCUGAAACUCUCCUGCGUGGCCUCAGGAUUCACCUUCAGUAACGCUGGCAUGCACUGGAUCCGCCAGGCUCCAGGGAAAGGGCUGGAGUGGAUCUCAGUGAUCUGGUACGAUGGUAGUAAAAUGUACUACGCAGACUCCGUAAAGGGCCGAUUCACCAUCUCCAGAGACAACAGCAAGAACACGCUGUAUCUGCAGAUGAGCAGCCUGAGACCCGAGGACACCGCUGUGUAUUACUGUGCAGCACAAUGA